CCCACCCCGAUUUGCUUAAAUUGCAGGGCACUAGUAUUCAUGGUUAAUGAGCAAAAAAAGCCCAUGCAGUUCUAGAGCUACAUUUCUUUUAAAAAGCAAAACUGUAUAGGAGAGUUUCUGAGUUCUGUCCCGCAACCCCCACCCCCUCAUACCAGCGUCUGAGAAUCUAGUUUAGUCUAAUAAAGAAGCUGAACGCACACACACCCUUCCCAAGUUUCUGUUGCACACUUGUUAAAAAUUCUUUUUGUCUUCCUAGCCCUGGACUUUAUGAAAUGAAACACAAAUCAGGCCCCUGGAAUAAAAGGUUGCAUGUAUGCCUUGUGGCAUUUUGAAUGAAACUAUUCACUGCCUGAAUAACUAUAAAUAGAAAGCCAGGAGCUGUCUAUUUCUCAACUUGGGGCUCCCUGUAAAGGAGCACCCUUCCCAGUAAAAGGUGACUUUUGAAAGAAAACUUUGUUCUUUCCUUGUGGGAAUUGAAUUGCUCAGGAAUUCUUCUUCGUGCACUUCUGGUUAGAAGGCAUUAAUCUCCAAUUUAUUUUUAACAACAGCAUUCUCUGUGUAAUAAAUGUGUAUUCUUGGACCUGUAGCCAGAUAUGCCAUCUCAUCUGUGGAGUUCCAUGUAAAAUUCUGAAUACAGAACAAACAGUUCUCUUUGCAUUUUGCUGCAGAAAGCUUUCUAUUGGCUCUCUUCCAGCUGUCGGCUCCUUUUUAUCUUGUAUUCAUUUUUUAGUAAGAAGGCUAAAUUAGUGGUGCACAGGGUUUUUUCAGGUUUUGAGAGACAGAACAAGAAUCGUGAUUGAUUUUAUUAUUAUUAUUACUAUAAAAGAUUUUAUUCUCCCAAUGGACUUCUGAAGUUGCCGACAUAAGAACCCCAAUAGCUUACUGUUGCAGUUCUUCAGGCAAUUUGUUUGGUUGAUUUGGCCGAUAUGAAUGCUCAGAAAUCCCCUGUGUUGUGCACUUAUGCAAAUGCAGUGUCAGACUACUUUCUCCUCCCCUUUUAGGUUUUUCUAAAGAAACCAGGAGAUGCGGGGAGAGGAGUUGCUCAUUGACUGGUAUAGUUCUACUGGCUUUGAUGGGGCUACAAGCAUGAAAGUAGUGAAAGUGGUCAAUAAAUCAUCCGCCUGAGCAGGCAAUUUAAAAAACUGUCUUACACCACAAUUGUUUGAGUUGUGAGAAGGGGAAUUCACACCUAAGUUGGAAGCUUUCUGCAAAAUUAACAUGAAAUUUGAAUCACCUCCCUGUUAAGUCAUUUUGUUUUCGCUUCUACAUAUCUUUUCAUUUCUUUCUGUGAUUGGAUAUGCAAAGUACUGAGGAUAGAUUUGCAUCCUGGUCUUGGUUUUUAGUUAAGAGGCAUUUCUUAUUAUGAAAGCUUACAACUUAAACCUAUUGAAAACUACCUAUUAUAGUUAAACUUCAGCUUUAUUUUUGAAUAAAAAGCAACAGGAAACAAUUCUUUGAGGCCUAUCAUAAUUUUGUAUACUGAAUUAAUCUAGAACUGGGAAAUGGCCAUACUUCAGCUUGCAUGAGGAAAUGACGGGAAAUAGUUAAACUUAAAGAUGAUUGAUUACGCAUGUGGCUGAAUUGUAAGAAACCUCUAGGUGGCUUAAGUUGUUUUUAACACACACACACCCCAGUUGAACAUUGGCAUAGGCAAACAAUAUAAUGCCCCAUGUCUUUCCACUUAAUAUUGGUUGCCUCUUGGCUUUUAUGAUUGCAGUCGUUUGUAUGUCUGCAUGCUGAUUUCAUUGUAAUGCUCCAUAUGUUUUGCUUGUCACCUUUUAUUGUAAGACUUCCUUCACCUAAGGUGGCCCCCUGCUGCCCUUUUGCAUGGCAGCUCCUAUAGGUAGCCCUGCUGCCUUUUCCCUUUCUAACUUUCCCUUGGGAGCCUGUUGCGAACUAUUGAAGACGUUGAAUCCAUUGUCAGUUUUCAUCUUGCUUUGUCUCUGCGGACUUUGUUCAUCAUUUACUACAAUUUUACAAGGGUUUUUGAAAAUGUCGUCUAUCAUCCAUUCAUAGAUGUAAAUUUUCCAUUCAGUUGUUUCUGUUUACAGUGGCUAGAUUCCUCCCCCCUUUGUAAUGGCCAUUUGCCUUUUUAAAUCUCUUCUGGAGAGUUUAAUUUCCGUAUAAUACAACAUCAUAACAUGGUUGCUUAAAUGUUGAUUGAGGUCCUACGUAUAACAAGAAAUUUUUCUAUAGCUGAAAUUUCUGAACUUUUAAAAUAUGCUACCAUUGAUUGGUUGUUAUCUAAUGCUAGCGUCUGCAAAUAUAUAUAUUAAAUGUAUAUAACUGGUUUAAGCACGUUUAGUUAUUGACAAAUAGUUUCAGCAUGUUAGAGGAUUAUACAACUGUGUUGCUGCUUGGAUUUUGAACUGACCUUGUAGCUGUUGACUGGCCUUGUUUCCUAAUUGCAUCAAAUUGUAAUAUUUUAGAGGAUGACGGACUAUGAGUUUAGCUGCAAUGAUACACACAUCCUGUUUAAAUCCCAUUGAAAAUCAAUGGGUUUUAAUCGGACUAAAUGCAUGCAAGAUUACAGCCAGUGUCACUACUGCUACUGUUAGAAUAGUUCCCAUUACCAAGUCCUCUAGUAAUUGUCUGUCACUUGGUGAAAACCAAAGAUGGUGAUUUACAAAGGAAGUAUAGCUGCAUAAGAACUGGCAUGCAAAUUUUCUUACCCCAAGUCCGCCUAAGUACUCAUUAUUUCAUUUCAGCACUAAUCACUAUCCUUGGAUCUAAUUCUCACUGCUUUGGUCUCUUGUUCAGCCUUCCAGUAUAUUGCUGUUUAGGACUAUGGUUUGCAUUUUGAAGUUCAAGCAUUUAAUUGCUAUUGUGAAGUCAUUAUGCUAACACGCAAAUUCCUUGUGCUAACACGCAAAUUUCCAUGCUGAAUUCUUGACACUCAUAAAUAUAUUAGUGAAAUGCUGUAAGAUAAAAAUAUAUUGCAUGUGUUUUAAUCUCUUCCAAAAGUGUUAUAGCCCCUACACUAUUGGCACCACUUUGAAACAAAAUGAUGUUGUCACCUAUUAUGGCCAACUAAAGACUCCUCUUUUUUUUAAAAAAAAAAAAUCCUGCUAUUGCUCAAUACAUUCUCCUUUCAGUGUGAGACUUUUUAUUACUUGGUGCCAUGUGCAACCUAAUUGCUUUCCAUAUUGCCGUAUUGGAGAAAGAUUCCCAGCUAACUACUGUAAAUGUGAACAUGCAUCAGACUUAACUCUUCCUGUGGGAGUUAUCUAGGAUAAGAUUUAUUUCUAGUAGCUUUACUUACUGCUGCUAUAGUAAGAUGUGGGCUAGAAAGAAGGCUGGAGAAAUGGAUUUGACCAAAGCUUAACUGCCAGUGGUCUUCCACUGUAGCUGCAACAAGGCCAGAUAUUAUGAAUCUUGUUAAAACAUAACAAGGCUAUGGAUGUCCCGGUCUCCCAACAGUCAUUUGGGUCAGCUUUCCUGUGGUGGUUCAUCUCUCACCCUUCAAUAUACUGUAUAUAUUUUUUUUUAUUGCAUUUAACUUGAUAAGCUAGGGGUGGCCCAAAUUACUCCCAUCAAAAUGAAUGUAGAAAGUGAAACAACCAAUAGCUUAACUGGGGUCCAUUCUAUCCACAGCAACUUCUGAAAAUAGGGUGUGUAAAACCUUAGAAUUUACAUGUACCACAAAGUACAUGUUUUAUGUGGUCAAUACUACUUCAAGAGCCCUGGAGUAGGGCCUCCCCUAUUUUUGUAACAUAAAAACAAAACUGCGUUGCUGAGUGUACAGUAAAAAAAAAAUCAUUGACCAGAAACUUCAGGGGUCUGUUGGAUCCCAGGGGUAUUUUUUCUGCUUCAUCUUGGCCUCCCAAAAAAAGAGCGCUUCACAAAUAUUUAAGCAGUUGGAAAUGGAAGCUUGGGGGGGUGUUGGGUUAGCAUAGAGGCACUCCAAAGUUUGGUUGGAGGCUGCAUGUAAUGGCCUUUGAGGAGGAGGAGGAAGCAGCCUGCAGAAAACAAGCAACUCCUUUUUGUAGGUGCAUCUUGAGCUCACAAUCUUUCAGGCACAUUUCCUUGUUUUCGUCACUGUGUUGGGAUCUUAAGAUACCAAUAAUUGAUUUGUAGGUGUGAGUGGGGUUAAGCAAAGGCACAAUUGUCUCCUCCAACUUAUCUCAUGGGUGGGGUGGAAGCCGGGUCCUGUUACUCCUGCGUCAUAUUGUGUGCCGUGCAUUUUAAUUAUUAACUUUAUAAUAAGGGAGGGGUUUCACAAAUGAGGUUGGGGUGAGGGAGGGAUGAAUGUUCCAAGUGUGCAAAAUCAAAAGUUUUACCAAAAUGUUAACAACAACAACAGCCAUAGUAACAAGGAACACAUGACUGGAGAGAGCUUUUCUACCCUUGCUGGUAUAUGCAAACCUAGUAACCCUUCAUGCUUUUGACUAUUGUAGUGUAAUUUGAUUUUUCAUAGCCUUGUUCACCAUCUGAACGGUAUGGAAGAUGGUGUGAGAGAGCCAAUAUUGGCUAUACUCAGAGUAGACCCUUUGAAAUCAAUGGAAUUAAGACCAUUGAUUCAAUGUGUCUACUCUCAGUAGGAUAUAGUUUGAUAUCACCCAGUGUUCAGAUUAAGGCACAAUCUAAUGUAUUCAAUUGUGGGGGGGGGGGUAGCAAAGUGGCAGAGCAAUUUCAAUAUAAGGCAUCUCCACAUAUAUUUUUUUUAAAAACUGUUAUUAUAAAAGCAUCAGGUAAGCUGAUGGUGGGAAAAACCUCUGCCUGAGACCCUGGAAAGCUACUGUCAGCCAGAGUAGACUGUGUUGGGCAAGAACAUCAAAUAGCCUGGCCUGGCUAAGGCAGCUUUCCCCCUCUUUGGGCCUCAGACUGAAUGGAGGCAAGCAGCUUGCCACUUACUCCCCUUUCAGCCUAACUGCCAGGCGCCAGAUGUGUGCAUGUCCCUGUGUGCCGCUCUCCGCUGCCAGCAUUUUGCUAGCAGCAGGAGGGCAUGUGCACAUGUGGCAUCCUCUUCGCUUGCUUGCUCCAAACCAAACUGGAUUGGCUGGUGGUGGUAGCAAGAAGUUCCUCUUCUCGAUUCCUGCUUGGCUUUAUGCCCAGCUGUUAAAAGUUCAGGUUCCUUUUCCUUAUUUCUGUCUGUUCACCUGAACGGCUGCUGCUGGUAAAUAACACUGCUCAGCAUGGUGCUGCCUCUGCCAUUACCAUCUAUUACCUUAAUCUUUUAAGAACACAUUUCCCCCAGGCUUUUGUUAAAGCUAAACCCUGUCUUCUGUAUGUUAUAAUUAUUUGUAUUGAUGUUAUGUAUAUUGAUGUAACCUUUGUGUUUUUAAAUUUGCUGCAUACCACAGAGAUAAAUAAAUGGAUGAUGAUGAUGAUAUCCUGUCCCUCCUUCGUUCCUCUCCCCCAGCCGCCGACAGGAAGGAGACAUCCCGGGGUCCCCCGGAGCCGAAGUGCAGCGGUGUGGGGGUGUUUUGCCGCCUGCCUUCCCCAAGCCAAGGGGAAGGCAGGCGGCAAAAAGCCCUGGCAAUUUUUCACUGCACGCUGGACUUUGCAGUCGGAGGUUCGUUUUUCUAUGGCCAUGCUUCGCAAGACGAAGCGGCGGCCAUAGAAAACCUCGUUGUCUUGCGAGGCAACCUCUGAUCGCAAAAUCCAUUCGUCUAGCGAAAAAUUCGUCUUGCAGGGCAUUCGUUAAGCGAGGCACCACUGUAUAUGUGUGCAUGUAUUAGCUGUAUGACUUUUGCAUGCUGUCAGUCUGUCAUAUAUUUAGACCUGCUGCUGCCUGUCCUGAAGGUACCGUAUACUGGAACAGGAUUGAACAAUUCUGUGAAUAUAAAGAACAGAAGACUUGUGUAGAAUUCAAUAAUAACUAGAAUCAGAAUGAAGAGACACUUCUUUUAUUCAGGAUUAACUUAGUCUAGUUUGUGCAUUUAGAAAUCAUAAGAAACUCCCAAAUGACAUUUAUUUCAUAGAAUUAUAGAAUUGUAGAGUUGAAAGGGACCCCAAUGUUCAUCUAGCCCAAACCCUGCAAUUAUUUAUUUAUUUGUAUCAUUAUUUAAUUAUAUUUGUUAGUGGCUUUCCUCACAAAAGUGACCCAAAGCAACUUAAAUUUAAUUAAAAGACAUGCAACCUAUAAAAACCUAAAAAGACAUACUUAGAGAAAUUCUUUAUUAACUUAAUCUCCCAUAGAUCACUUAGGCAUUCAUAUCCACAUUGGUUAUUCCUGUAGAGUGUUUUAAUGUAACUCAUAGGUGAACAGUACAAGCCACACAGAUUUCUACUUUUUGUAUAUAAAACAAACAUUGUACUUGAAUGAAGACUUCCAGUUGAUACAAAACAAAAGUACAUAUGUUUCUACUAUGAUAAUAAACAUUAAUUUUUAAAAUAUGUUUUAGGGUUUUCCUUGAGAAAUCUAAUUGACCCCACCUCCUACAAUCCUGCUUUGUUGUUUUAGGGCAGGCAUCCCCAAACUCAACCCUUAGAUGUUUUGGGACUACAACUCCCAUCAUCCCUAGCUAACAGAACCAGUGGUCAGGGAUGAUGGGAAUUGUAGUCCCAAAACAUCUGGAGGGCUGAGUUUGGGGGUGCCUGUUUUAGGGAAUGCUCAUAUAUUAUUGUUUUUUAACUAUCCAGCAACAACUGCCUUUUCUGCUGUUGCUUGACUUCUCCCAGCUAUUAACCCUGCAGGUUACAGGCCCCAUUGUAAAAAGCAGCUGCACCUGGAAGCUGAUUGCAAAUGGGUUGGGUAGGUACGGCCAAGAGUAACUAUUACUACCACUCCAAUUUCUUACUCACCCUUCACUAUAAGGUUCCACAGCACAUUCUGGCAAUUAAAAAAAUACAAUAUUAAAACACGUUUAAAACAAAUUACACUCACACUAAUAGUAUGGGUCCUGAAAUACCUAUCAGGUAUCAAAGGGAAAGAGGAGUGGUUGGUUUCAGCAUACAGAACACUUGUAUAGAAUUCAAAUAAUAACUGGAAUUUGAAUUCAGGGAUGUUUCUUUUAUUGAGGAUUAACUUGGUCCAGUUCAUACGGCGGUGGCAGCGGCAGCGGCAGUGGCAGCAGCAGCAUCUCUUAGUAUCAGUAGUGGUAUAUUUGGCCAGUCAGUUCCAUAUAAUUUCUCUCUUAUAGCUCAGAGCUAGAGCCCCUGAUGUGCACGUAGAAGGUCCAGGUUCAAUUCCUGUUAUCUCCUGGUGGUUCUGGGAGAGAUUUCUGCCUGAAACCCUGGAGUGUUGAUGAUGCUGGGCCAGGCAGACGAAUGGUCUGUCACGGUAUAAAGUGGCUUCCUAUAAUUAUCUGAAUGUUUCCCAUCACAGUUAUGAUUCACAACAGAGAGCUUUAUUUGUACUAUUUUAAGGUUCUUUCUGAUGUGUGUACCUUUGUCCGAUUAACUAGUUCCAAAUAAGUCUUGGACACAGAAUUAUUAUUAUUAUUACAUUCACUUUCUAUAACAAACAAAAACAACCCCCCCCCCCAGUUUAAAAGGCCAUAGCUUGUCUAAUUAACCAAAGGCCUGGUAAAAGAGGAAUGUUUUUGCCUGGCAUGUAAAGAUAUGUAAGAAAGAUGCCAGGAGAGCAUUCCACAAGCAGGGAGCCACCACAGAAAAGGCCCGUUCUCGUGUUGCCACCCUCUGGAUCUCUUGUGGAGGGGGCACACAAAGAAGGGCCUCAGAUUAUCAUUGCAGGGCCUGGGUUGGUUCAGUCCUUGAGAUAUGCUUUCCUAACUACAGAAUAGGUAUAGGAAGACUGGCUUGCUUGGAUAGAUGAGUUGGAAUGAGAUGGAAAGAGGACUAAGGCUUGAAUGAUUAAGCUGCAUGAGCAUUUAAUUUUUUUUCCAUUAUAAGGGAAAUACAUUGCUUUGGAAAUACCUUUAAAGCAAUGGGUUCAAUUUUACAACUGGCAAGUGUACUUUUGGUUGCAGAAGACAUUCCUGCUGUAGCUUACUGCACUGCCCAUAAGUUGUUCCUAAAGCCCAAGGGAGCCUCAAAACAAUAUUUGAUCUGGUGAAUUGCCCCCUUGUGUAAGCAGAUGUAUAUUUUCUUUCUUGGAAAGGGCGCCAUUAGAGCCAAGCUCAUUUUAAAAAAACAAAAUUAAAUCUUCUCUUGAAUGGAUACACAAACAUAUGUGUAUAUCUACAGGUGUGAUCUUACAAUAUUCAUUACAUAGGUUAAAACACAAAUGGAUGCUUCCAUAUUUAUGAGCCUCGAGUUUAAAUGAGGCCAUUACUUAAUAUCUCUCGAAAUUUUUGGCAAACAGAAUUGUACAUGUGUAGCUAUCGGCAAUGAAAGUCCCUGAUGCGUAUUAAUUCAAGGUGGGGAGAGUAACAUGCAUUGAUCUUUAAUUAGUCAACGGAGCACAGUUUGCAGAAGCUUGUUAGGUAUUAAUAGACGCUUGUGUUGCCUGGGGGUAGGGGGAAAGAAUGGGAUGCAUAAUUGAGCCUAUCUCUAAUCAUUCCUUAUGUCAUAAAAUUCCAGCCAGACACAAUCAGUGUGCCUUGCUUUGGUUUUGUCAGUGGGAGCCUUAGAGAGUGUUUGCGUGUAAAAGCCGCUUUUAACUUGCUAUGCUCUUGUUUUGUAAUGCAGGGGAAACACUACUUAGGGACAGGUAUUUGCUUUCUAAAAACGUUAUCAUCCUUAUUGAUUAGACAGUGAAGGAAGGCAACUACCAGAGAAGGGUGUUGGUAUACAUCUGUUAAGUUACAGUUGUCUCGGACAUGACAUAACAGCUACUAAUCCAUGCUACCUAUUGUCUUGCCUGAUGCUUGGCUUUGGGUGUUUAUUAAAACAUAAAGCCAUAUGUGUUUGGUAGACUUCCAUAUUUCAUGUUGAAUUUACACUCUGGGUUCCCUACCCUCCAGAACGUGUAAAAGAAAUUGGUAUAGGCUGGACACCCGAAAAGGCUGUUUAAGGAGCAAAGAAAGAUAUACAAUGAUUGGUGCAGUGGAAGAUCUGAAAUUAUAGAGUUUAAAUGAACCGUGUCUGGAUUGAGGCUAUGAUCCAGUUCAGGUAAAAAUAGAGGCUAUUGUCCCCCUUUUUGAAGAAGAAGAAGAAGAAGAAGAAGAAGAAGAAGAAGAAGAAGAAGAAGAAGAAGAAGAAGAAGAAGAAGAAAGCACACACCUACUUUAGUCGGGAUUGCUCUCCCAGUGUUCAUAAGCAUGACACUGCAUGCCUUCUAAAAAUGGAAAGGAUGCAAGAGUAAGUUGCACACACACACACACCGAAAAAGCCCAAAGCUCACUCUUGAUUUAACCUGAAGUAGAAUCACAGGGAUGAUGUGAUGUCUCAACAUGCCCUUGGUUUGUAUUGAAAAGCCAUAUUUUGAAUGCAACGUGUCACAACUUCAGUCAAAUAGCUCAUUGUAGCAUAGAAGCUUCCAUUAUCUUUCCCUUUUACCGGGCAGCUGUUCUCUUUUUUCUAAUCACAUUUGGCUUCAUUAAAAUGUUUUGCAUGGCUUUAGCAUGGAUCAGACUAAUGACACCUAGGAGGGAGCAAAAGGAAUCCUGAGAAGCAGAAAGGCUGACCUGCAUCAAACCCAAAGGUGCAUGUGAAAAUGAUGACCCAUUAAUAGUGUAGACUAGGACAUGACUUUUGAAAUAAACAGGUAGAAGAUGUCCAAAACAUUGCCUAUUGUCCAUAAGUUUAUUUGUCUUUAUUUGCUAGCUAGACUGAGGCAAGCAUAUUUAUUGGUCCUUUAUUGGAAUAGAUAUUGAAUCACUUUGUUUAUAUUUUUGCAAAAUUACUUUGCAACCUGCCAUAUUGGACUUCAGAAAUACACAGCAAACCCAGCCCAGAGAAAUACCUGGUUGAUGGAUGUUGUUUCUCUCUCUUCCCUCCCCCACCCCAUUUUUUUCAUUCGUCUUUCCCUCAAACUUUCUCCUUAGAGGACCAUUGGGGCUCUUUGAAUAAGCAAAUUGAUAUGCUGUUAAAUGGAUAGACAUAACUUUUACCAAAUUAUAAAGGAGAAAAAGCAGCAUAUAUGAAUCAUUGUUAGUCAUAUGAAACUUCUCUUGCUUUUUUUAAAAAAACAAACCUGAGUUGCUCUAUCAUUUAUCUUACAACUUUGGGGGGCUGACUCAUAUUUGUGAACACAGUGGUUCAACAGAACUGGGAUUUAUGGUGAUUGCAGGUCUAGGCAAACAACUCAAGUUUCCGAUUGUGUCACAAGAACAUAUACAGUUACUAAUCUGCAGUGCUACCAAGUGGGUGAGCAAAUGUAGCAUCUUUAGAGGCAGAAAUUCUGCAUGUGUAUGGAUAGACAUGGUGCACAAUGCACUUUUAUAUUCCUUCUUUGGGAAUGACUUUUUUCUAAGUGUAAAUUGGAAUCUCAGCCAACAAUCAAACAGAACAAGACUAAGCAAUGAAGAAAUGGAAUGUAUUUCAGCCUUGGUGCGAAGUCAGAAUCACAUUCGUUUGUAAAAUAAAACGUGUGAAUAAGCUGUGGACAUUUGAUUCAUUAUAACUUUCCAGGAUUGUUCCUUUCUAUUGAGCAGCUCUCCCCUUUCAGUUUUUGCUGGGAAGUCCAUUGAGCCUUUAGAGGGAAUAAUUGUCUUUAGGUUGUGAUCUUUCAUGGGUUGUGCUUUUUU
Molecule: non-coding RNA, 10535 nt
Organism: Zootoca vivipara (common lizard)
Lineage: Eukaryota; Metazoa; Chordata; Lepidosauria; Squamata; Lacertidae
Source: RefSeq, a predicted model, not a curated record